ACAAUCAAAAAGUCUAACAAAUAAAUAAUACAAAUUUGGGCCCUGCAACUAAAUGAGCCCAAACAAUUUAAUUAAAGUUGUGGGAAAUGUCUUUGAGCCCAAUUCAUUUCCAAAAAUGUGGGUGCAAGCCCAAAGUCUUUUUCUUCUUUUUCCUUCUCCCCUCUUGGCCUAUUCCCUCCACCUCCAUCUUCCAGAAUAAAUUCUGCAAAUCAAAGGUCACACAUUAAUCCACAAGUUCCUUCAUGUAUCCCCUCCCCUACCUCCUCACAAUACACUUUACAUCUUCAAACAAACUUGUGAGAGAGAGAGAGAGCCGAGAGAGAGAGCCGAGAGGUUUCAAGAGGGUGCCUUAUUCUCAUUUCAACACCCAAGUUUACAUCACGAGAUUGACCGUAGAGGAUGGAACGCUUCUUUAAAAAAAAGCGUCGGGAUGAAUUUUCUUCUCCAAGUGAACCCAUUGUUGAAGCAAUGGAAAAUCAGCCCCGAAGAGAAGUUGGGUUGAACUUGAAUGAUAUUGUUGGUGAUCCGGGAAAACGCAAGCCAAUUGAAGAGUUCGAUGUUUCAAUUCGAGAUAGAGUACGAAGAGAGUACUUGAAUAUGGGCCCUUGUCAACCAAUUGGACAUAAGUAUGAAAAAAAGAAAUAUGGUACUCAAGAAAGAAGUUUUCAAGAUAUUUGGUUUAAAAGGUAUACAUGGUUAGAGUAUAGUGUAUCAAAGGAUGCAGCUUUUUGCUUUUGGUGCUACCUUUUCAAGAAAUCAGAUAAAUGGGGUCGACAAUCAGAUGAUGCUUUUACAAAGACAGGUUGUAGCAACUGGAAAAAUGCAUUAGAAAGAUUCAAUUAUCAUGUUGGAGGCGUGAAUAGUUGUCAUAGUAAUGCUAGAAUUCAGUUCGAAGCUUUUCAAGAUCAAAGGAACAGUGUGGCAAGUAUAUUACGGUCAAAUACCCGUGAGAUGGAAGUUGCAUAUCGCAUUCGGUUGACAGUCUCAUUGAAUGUGACUCGGUUUCUCUUAAAGCAAGGAUUGUCUUUUCGUGGACAUGAUGAGUCAAGUAGUUCUUCAAAUCGAGGUAAUUUUAUUGAGUUGCUUCUAUGGUUUAGUGAACUUAACGAUGAUGUAUCCAAAACUUUGUUUGCAAAUGCUCCUGCUAACAACCAAAUGAAUUCACCACGAAUUCAAAAGGAAUUGGCAAACGCUUGUGCUUCAGAGGUUACACUUGCCAUAGUUAAUGAUAUUGGAGAUAAAGUUUUCACUCUUUUGGUUGAUGAGGCUCGAGACGUUUCAAUGAAGGAGCAGAUGGGAGUUGUUUUAAGAUAUGUGAAUAACGAAGGAUAUGUGAUUGAGCGAUUUAUUGGAAUCGUGCAUGUAACUGACACUUCCUCUCAUACUUUGAAAUGUGCUAUUGAUGAUUUAUUGGUGAAGCAUAAUUUAUCUCUAUCUAAAGUGAGAGGGCAAGGAUACGAUGGAGCUUCUAAUAUGAGGGGUGAGUUUAAUGGAUUGAAAUCCUUAAUAUUGCAAGAAAAUCCAUAUGCCAUGUAUAUUCAUUGUUUAUCUCAUCAACUCCAAUUAAUUAUUGUUGCGGUUGCCAAGGGUAUUAGAGUUGUGAAGGAUGUUUUUAGCUAUGUCUCCAUGAUUGUGAAUAUGGUUGGAGCAUCUUGUAAGAGAAAAGACCAACUUAGGCAGUUGCAACAUGACAGAUUAGUUGAACAACUUAAUGAUGGAGAACUCAUAAGUGGAAGAGGUAAAAAUCAAGAAACUAGUUUGGUAAGGCCUGGAGACACUCGUUGGGGCUCACAUUACUUUACAUUGCUUCGUCUAUGCUCUAUGUGGUCUUCGGUUGAGAAAGUGUCGGAAGUUGUACGUGAUGAUGCUACUCUCCGUGAUAACAGAAGUACCACUGAAGGAUUGAUUGAAAGGAUGGAUAACUAUGAGUUUGUUUUCACUUUGCAUUUGAUGAAACAUUAUUGGGAAUAACCAAUGAAUUAUCCAUUGCCUUGCAAAAGAAAGAUCAAAAUAUUAUUCAAGCCAUAUCAUUGAUCCAAAGUGUGAAACAUCAGUUGCAAAGUUUUAGAGAGAAUGGAUGGGAAGACAUACAUGAUCAAGCAACAAAGUUUUGUGAAUUGCAUAAUAUUUCACAAGUUGAUAUGGAUGAAAUUAUACCACGCCGUGGUUAUAAGAAGUAUGGAGCAGAGUUGAUCACGAAUUUGCAUCAUUAUCGUGUAGAGAUUUUUAAUCAGUUAUUUCAUUAUAAGAUGAGGUACAGUGAUUAUAAGAUGAAGUGAUUGAAUGACGGCAGUGUAGAAGCGGCGGCGGUGGCACACUACAUUGGGGUCGAGUUGCGGGUGAAUUUCAUCCCGAGACUGACCUCGAGUCGCUGCCCGAUCUGAUUUCGCGAUAUGGAGUUACAAAAGGAGAGGACCUCUGGAAAUUCAACCUCAGCGGAUUUCUGCAGGGUAACAGAUUCACGGUGCUGCAUUUGGCGGCUAUUGAGAAGCUGAUCUUCAACGGAUCUGACGAUGUGGCGAUUAAGAUCUGGAGGAGGGAGAAGGGGAGUUGCUUCCAUGAAUGCCUGGCGGUGCUGGACGCGCAUCGGAGGUCGGUGAAGUGCCUCGCGGCGGCGCUGGAAGUGGAGAAGAUGGUGAUGAUGGGGUUAUUGUUGUAU
Molecule: RNA transcript, 2659 nt
Organism: Salvia splendens (bonfire salvia)
Lineage: Eukaryota; Viridiplantae; Streptophyta; Magnoliopsida; Lamiales; Lamiaceae
Gene name: zinc finger MYM-type protein 1-like
Exons: 3
Source: RefSeq, a predicted model, not a curated record